RNAcentral lists this ribosomal RNA (497 nucleotides) under uncultured bacterium. Its description in RNAcentral is "partial 16S ribosomal RNA". It matches the Rfam family "Bacterial small subunit ribosomal RNA", at positions 28 to 507 of the family's 1533-position model. The record is from RNAcentral.
GAUGAACGCUGGCGGCGUGCCUAAUACAUGCAAGUCGAGCGAACGGACGAGAAGCUUGCUUUUCUGAUGUUAGCGGCGGACGGGUGAGUAACACGUGGAUAACCUACCUAUAAGACUGGGAUAACUUCGGGAAACCGGAGCUAAUACCGGAUAAUAUUUUGAACCGCAUGGUUCAAAAGUGAAAGACGGUCUUGCUGUCACUUAUAGAUGGAUCCGCGCUGCAUUAGCUAGUUGGUAAGGUAACGGCUUACCAAGGCAACGAUGCAUAGCCGACCUGAGAGGGUGAUCGGCCACACUGGAACUGAGGCACGGUCCAGACUCCUACGGGAGGCAGCAGUAGGGAAUCUUCCGCAAUGGGCGAAAGCCUGACGGAGCAACGCCGCGUGAGUGAUGAAGGUCUUCGGAUCGUAAAACUCGGUUAUUAGGGAAGAACAUAUGUGUAAGUAACUGUGCACAUCUUGACGGUACCUAAUCAGAAAGCCACGGCUAACUACGUG